This 566-nucleotide ribosomal RNA is filed under the name uncultured soil bacterium. RNAcentral describes it as "bacterial SSU rRNA". It matches the Rfam family "Bacterial small subunit ribosomal RNA", at positions 55 to 616 of the family's 1533-position model. The record is from RNAcentral.
AUGCAAGUUCGCGUGCGCAGUUGCCGUAGCAAUACGGUGAUGGGCGCACGGCGCACGGGUGCGUAACACGUGGGCAAUCUGCCCUUUGAUGGGGAAUAACCCGCCGAAAGGCGGGCUAAUUCCGCAUAAGAUUCAUUGGACCUCGGUCUGAAGAUUGAAAGCAGCAAUGCGUCGAAGGAGGAGCCCGCGCCCGAUUAGCUAGUUGGUGAGGUAAUGGCUCACCAAGGCAAUGAUCGGUAGCUGGUCUGAGAGGAUGAUCAGCCACACUGGAACUGAGACACGGUCCAGACUCCUACGGGAGGCAGCAGUGGGGAAUCUUGCACAAUGGGCGAAAGCCUGAUGCAGCGACGCCGCGUGGGGGAUGAAGCAUUUCGGUGUGUAAACCCCUUUCGACUGGGAAGAAUGCCUCGCAAGAGGAGUGACGGUACCAGUAGAAGAAGCCCCGGCUAACUACGUGCCAGCAGCCGCGGUAAGACGUAGGGGGCCAGCGUUGUUCGGAAUUACUGGGUGUAAAGGGUUCGUAGGCGGUGCGGCAAGUUGGGAGUGAAAUCUCUGGGCUUAACCCA